Molecule: ribosomal RNA, 559 nt
Filed under: uncultured bacterium
Lineage: Bacteria
Description: bacterial SSU rRNA
Rfam family: Bacterial small subunit ribosomal RNA
Source: RNAcentral
CGGAACGUGCCCAGUCGUGGGGGAUAACUACUCGAAAGAGUAGCUAAUACCGCAUACGAUCUGAGGAUGAAAGCGGGGGACCUUCGGGCCUCGCGCGAUUGGAGCGGCCGAUGGCAGAUUAGGUAGUUGGUGGGAUAAAAGCUUACCAAGCCGACGAUCUGUAGCUGGUCUGAGAGGACGACCAGCCACACUGGGACUGAGACACGGCCCAGACUCCUACGGGAGGCAGCAGUGGGGAAUUUUGGACAAUGGGCGAAAGCCUGAUCCAGCAAUGCCGCGUGCAGGAUGAAGGCCUUCGGGUUGUAAACUGCUUUUGUACGGAACGAAAAAGCUUCUCCUAAUACGAGAGGCCCAUGACGGUACCGUAAGAAUAAGCACCGGCUAACUACGUGCCAGCAGCCGCGGUAAUACGUAGGGUGCAAGCGUUAAUCGGAAUUACUGGGCGUAAAGCGCACGCAGGCGGUCUGUCAAGUCGGAUGUGAAAUCCCCGGGCUCAACCUGGGAACUGCAUUCGAAACUGGCAGGCUGGAGUCUUGUAGAGGGGGGUAGAAUUCCAGGU